Non-coding RNA from Oryza sativa Japonica Group (Japanese rice), 2247 nucleotides. NCBI's taxonomy places the organism in Eukaryota, Viridiplantae, Streptophyta, Magnoliopsida, Poales, Poaceae. The record is from RefSeq and is a predicted model, not a curated record.
CCGCAUUCCCGCUAACGCACAAGUGCACAACACCAUCUCUCAACAAAAAAAAAAAAAAGAAUUCGAAAUUUCGAGGACAUUUUGAUUUGAUCUCUUGAUUUUUACUCCCAUUUCAAAAUCUCUCGGGGGGCAAUGGAGCUCACCGCCGCCACCGCGGGAGCGACCCGUGCCACCGGAGGAUUCCUCGGGACCAGCCGUCGCCGGCCGCAAUCGUGGGCUUUUCAGUUCUGCAGGGAUAUACAUCAGCACUGCUCAAAUGAAGCAUCAAUGCGUACCACAGAUAGAUUAGAAGUACAUAUAUAAAAGAGAUUACUGUUGGCUGGAGCAAAUGCAUCUGUGUGAUACGAUAGUGGUAAGGCACUCUGGUUCAGGAUGACCUGAGCAGUUAGCAUCUUUUGGACACACCUCUUUAGAAAACACAACCUCUCCCAGAAUCUGAGUUUCCUGCUUCUGCUGUACAGUAUUUAUCUUCAUCAAAUAUUUGAGAAAUAUUGUCCUAGCAAGGUGCCGGUUGUGAUGCAAUAUCAAAGGUCUUAAGUAUUUUUGGACCUGACCUACCUCGUUCUAGAAGGGGUUAUUGCACUCUACAUCAUUGAUGUUACUUAAGAUCAUAUAUGCCAUCUUUCAGUUGCUCAAGCUGUGGUGUUAGGUAAAGCUAUACUGAGCUUUGCAUCAUAUCCGCAUGCUUCCACAAUAUCCCACCUACUUUAGUUUUUGGGUUUUGCACGGUCCUUCUCAUGGGUAGAACCUUCACUAGACCUAACUCAUCCUAUGUAGUAUGAAUGUCAAAACAUCUUUAACCCUUUUCUUCUCUUUUGCUUUGUAAAGUAGAUUUAUUGAAAAGUUUAUGUGACUUUCAAGAGAAAAAAGUUACCUGGGCACUUAUGUGCCCACUCAUGUCAUGUAUGCAGCAUGUUGGAAAAGAGUGAGAGCAAUUUGGCAUGCAGUCAAACCAGCUGGGCAUUUCGCCUUGUUGGUAGGGAGAAUCUCAUCAGUUGUUCUAGUGCUCUAUAAUGGAGUACACAUGCAUGCCUUCAGAAUACUCUAAUCUUUUUUUCUUGUACAUAUAUGUCUAAUGUGCUAUCCUGUUCUUGCUUCGUCUCUUAAAAAAAGGAUUAUUUUGUUCUUGCCAUAUUUUGCUACUACUUAAUAGUAACUACCGUCUCAAUGUUUUUGAAAAAAAAAGUUGCUCGCUGUAUCUGUUGGGCUUGGAAUGUGGAACAAUGAAAUUGUUGAUUAGCGUAUGUAUUGCUGUACUUUCCCAUAGUGUAAGGUGUUUCCUGUGAAUGUUACUUCUUGUAUGUCUGGCGGUGGCCCCUUUGGAUACUUAGCAGUACACAAGCUUGAUUUGACAGAAACUAAACCAGACAAGUCUUAUUAGUGGUCAAACUUUGCAUACAUUACAUAUACAUAGUUACAUACCAUAUACCAUUUGCACAAUUUAAAAUUUUGACGUGUGUUAUAUAUCCUGAUCUUAUGAACUCCCAACUCAAAAGGUUUAACACUAAAUUCACGAAAAGGUUUAACACUAAGGAUGCAAUGGAUCGAUGAUUUAGUACUCCCAGAACAAAAAAGUUUUGACAGUAAUGAUAUUGGAUCCAUGCUGAUAGAUUAGGAUGGGGUUUCUAGUAACCAUGCAAGCAAUUGCUGUUUUCAUUACUCAACAAACUAAUUAAGUUCACAUAGUUCUUCCUUUAUUUGACUUGGGGGGAAAUAGAACAAAAGAUUUUUAUGAUGUAUUGAUGUCUCAAUCUUAGCAUUUUUUUGGACGUGCCUUGAUAUGCAGGUUACUAUGACCUGGUGUUUGCGCGUCUUGUAGUCCCUGUGGUUUCCUUUUUCAAGGUACAUCAAAAUUAAAGGAAUGGUAAUCAAUAGAUUUGUCAAAGACCAUGACUUUGGAAAGUUUAUGGUACUUGGACGAGCACCUUCAGAUGCUCCUGCAAGGUUAUAUAUGCUUGCACGCAUGUGGUGAUACUUCCUUUCCAUACCCCCAGGCAUGCACCAUGCUUCGUACAUUUUCUGAAGACUCCAACACUCCUACAUAACCAGCUCAGUUCCUCUAUCAUCUUACGUCUGCAUAGAGAGGCUUACACUACACCUGGAAACAAAUGAGGAUGGCCGGCAUGGAGGCUUACUUGUUGCCUAGAAGCUCAUGGAGCUUGAUGAUGAACUCGUCCUCCUCCUCGGUGAAAUUACCUCGCUUGAGGUCCGGUCUCAGGUAGUUGAUCCAUCGCAGCCGGCAGCUUU